CAACGAGCGCAACCCUCGUCCUUAGUUGCUAGCAGUUCGGCUGAGCACUCUAAGGAGAACUGCCUUUCGCAAGGAGGAGGAAGGUGAGGACGACGUCAAGUCAUCAUGGCCCUUAUGGCCAGGGCUACACACGUGCUACAAUGGGGCGUACAGAGUGUUGCGAUACCGCGAGGUGGAGCUAAUCACUUAAAGCGUCUCUCAGUUCGGAUUGGAGUCUGCAACUCGACUCCAUGAAGCUGGAAUCACUAGUAAUCGUAGAUCAGCAAUGCUACGGUGAAUACGUUCCCGGGUCUUGUACUCACCGCCCGUCACACCAUGGGAGUUGAUUUCACCCGAAAUCGGGAAGCCAACCUUCGGGGGGCUACCGCUUACGGUGGAAUUAGCGACUGGGGUGAAGUCGUAACAAGGUAACC
Molecule: ribosomal RNA, 413 nt
Filed under: uncultured bacterium
Lineage: Bacteria
Description: bacterial SSU rRNA
Rfam family: Bacterial small subunit ribosomal RNA
Source: RNAcentral